RNAcentral lists this ribosomal RNA (1279 nucleotides) under Salmonella enterica subsp. enterica serovar Typhimurium. RNAcentral describes it as "partial 23S ribosomal RNA". It matches the Rfam family "Bacterial large subunit ribosomal RNA", at positions 1 to 1211 of the family's 2925-position model. The record is from RNAcentral. Lineage: Bacteria; Pseudomonadati; Pseudomonadota; Gammaproteobacteria; Enterobacterales; Enterobacteriaceae.
GGGUUGUGAGGUUAAGCGACUAAGCGUACACGGUGGAUGCCCUGGCAGUCAGAGGCGAUGAAGGACGUGCUAAUCUGCGAUAAGCGCCGGUAAGGUGAUAUGAACCGUUAUAACCGGCGAUUUCCGAAUGGGGAAACCCAGUGUGAUUCGUCACACUAUCAUUAACUGAAUCCAUAGGUUAAUGAGGCGAACCGGGGGAACUGAAACAUCUAAGUACCCCGAGGAAAAGAAAUCAACCGAGAUUCCCCCAGUAGCGGCGAGCGAACGGGGAGGAGCCCAGAGCCUGAAUCAGCAUGUGUGUUAGUGGAAGCGUCUGGAAAGGCGCGCGAUACAGGGUGACAGCCCCGUACACAAAAGCGCAUGUGCUGUGAGCUCGAUGAGUAGGGCGGGACACGUGGUAUCCUGUCUGAAUAUGGGGGGACCAUCCUCCAAGGCUAAAUACUCCUGACUGACCGAUAGUGAACCAGUACCGUGAGGGAAAGGCGAAAAGAACCCCGGCGAGGGGAGUGAAAAAGAACCUGAAACCGUGUACGUACAAGCAGUGGGAGCCCCACCACUAAGCCAGUGGUGAACUCCACAUCCGCAUCCUUUGCUGAGGAUACGGUUAACGGAGCGAAAGCGACGUUCAACCGCAAAACAAGCAGAGGGGGCUUAGUGGUGGGGUGACUGCGUACCUUUUGUAUAAUGGGUCAGCGACUUAUAUUCUGUAGCAAGGUUAACCGUAUAGGGGAGCCGGAGGGAAACCGAGUCUUAAUUGGGCGUUAAGUUGCAGGGUAUAGACCCGAAACCCGGUGAUCUAGCCAUGGGCAGGUUGAAGGUUGGGUAACACUAACUGGAGGACCGAACCGACUAAUGUUGAAAAAUUAGCGGAUGACCUGUGGCUGGGGGUGAAAGGCCAAUCAAACCGGGAGAUAGCUGGUUCUCCCCGAAAGCUAUUUAGGUAGCGCCUCGUGAAUUCAUCUCCGGGGGUAGAGCACUGUUUCGGCUAGGGGGCCAUCCCGGCUUACCAACCCGAUGCAAACUGCGAAUACCGGAGAAUGUUAUCACGGGAGACACACGGCGGGUGCUAACGUCCGUCGUGAAGAGGGAAACAACCCAGACCGCCAGCUAAGGUCCCAAAGUCAUGGUUAAGUGGGAAACGAUGUGGGAAGGCCCAGACAGCCAGGAUGUUGGCUUAGAAGCAGCCAUCAUUUAAAGAAAGCGUAAUAGCUCACUGGUCGAGUCGGCCUGCGCGGAAGAUGUAACGGGGCUAAACCAUGCACCGAAGCUGCGGCAGCGA